This 397-nucleotide ribosomal RNA is filed under the name uncultured bacterium. Its description in RNAcentral is "partial 16S ribosomal RNA". It matches the Rfam family "Bacterial small subunit ribosomal RNA", at positions 523 to 918 of the family's 1533-position model. The record is from RNAcentral.
AUACGUAGGUGACAAGCGUUAUCCGGAUUUACUGGGCGUAAAGGGCGUGUAGGCGGUCUUGCAAGUCAGAAGUGAAAUUCCUGAGCUCAACUCGGGCGCUGCUUCUGAAACUGCAGGACUUGGGUGCUGGAGGGGAUAGCGGAAUUCUUAGUGGAGCGGUAAAAUGCGCAGAUAUUAGGAAGAACACCGGUGGCGAAGGCGGCUAUCUGGACAGUAACUGACGCUGAGGCGCGAAAGCGUGGGGAGCAAACAGGAUUAGAUACCCGGGUAGUCCACGCUGUAAACGAUGAAUACUAGGUGUAGGGGGUAUCGACUCCCUCUGUGCCGCAGUUAACACAAUAAGUAUUCCGCCUGGGGAGUACGGCCGCAAGGUUGAAACUCAAAUGAAUUGACGGGG